Molecule: non-coding RNA, 21 nt
Filed under: Arabidopsis thaliana (thale cress)
Lineage: Eukaryota; Viridiplantae; Streptophyta; Magnoliopsida; Brassicales; Brassicaceae
Source: RNAcentral
GGGGAUGUAGCUCAAAUGGUA